UAAAGGAAGCGAUUCCGGCUACGGAUGGGCAUGCGGCGCAUUAACUAGUCGGCGGGGUAACGGCCCACCGAGGCGACGAUGCGUAGGGGUUCUGAGAGGAAGGUCCCCCACACUGGUACUGAGACACGGACCAGACUCCUACGGGAGGCAGCAGUGAGGAAUAUUGGUCAAUGGGCGAGAGCCUGAACCAGCCAAGUCGCGUGAGGGAAGACGGUCCUAUGGAUUGUAAACCUCUUUUGUCGGGGAGCAAAAAGGCCUCGUGAGGCCACAAGCGAGAGUACCCGAAGAAAAAGCAUCGGCUAACUCCGUGCCAGCAGCCGCGGUAAUACGGAGGAUGCGAGCGUUAUCCGGAUUUAUUGGGUUUAAAGGGUGCGUAGGCGGACUGGAAAGUCAGCGGUAAAAUCGAGAGGCUCAACCUCUUUCCGCCGUUGAAACUGUCGGUCUUGAGUGGGCGAGAAGUAUGCGGAAUGCGUGGUGUAGCGGUGAAAUGCAUAGAUAUCACGCAGAACUCCGAUUGCGAAGGCAGCAUACCGGCGCCCGACUGACGCUGAGGCACGAAAGCGUGGGUAUCGAACAGGAUUAGAUACCCUGGUAGUCCACGCAGUAAACGAUGAAUACUAAUUGUCCGGUCAGAAUGAUGACUGG
This 645-nucleotide ribosomal RNA is filed under the name uncultured bacterium. RNAcentral's name for it is "bacterial SSU rRNA". It matches the Rfam family "Bacterial small subunit ribosomal RNA", at positions 202 to 842 of the family's 1533-position model. The record is from RNAcentral.